UGCAUGCAGGGCGGCCGCUGGCGAGUGAUCCGGUGGCGCUAUGGCGCCUGCAUCCCUCGCCUCUCCGAUCGCACCGGUCUGCUCCCUAAGCACGAAGUGGGUGCAUGCAGGGCGGCCGCCGACGAACGAGCCUGCGGCGCGGCGGUCUGCUCCCUGCCGGUUUGAGAUCCGCACUGGUCUCCUCUCUGCUGGCCAUUCUACGGGAAAGAUCGCUGAGUACUUCAUCUAAAUCUGCCGCAAACGACCAGCACUCUGUGCCAAGAAGUGGAAGUAUUUCCUCCCUCACACAUGCUCCCUGCCUCACAUGUGAUGUAAGUAUCGCAUCCCUCACAUGUGCUUCCUGACUCGCGUUCUUCUACAACAUAGAGUAUAUGUGGAUCAAAUUACUUCAUGUCUGCUAACAAAAUUACAUAUCCUAUGUGACAAUGGGUUAUUUUUCUCCUUCGAAAUUGAGGAGCUGGGAGAUAAUGCCACAGAAUAACAUAAGUAUUUCUGUUUGAAGUGUGUAUACUAUCCUGAUAAAAUCCUCAGAACGCAGAAGUGUAUGCAUUCUUGGUUUCAUGCACCAUAUUAUUGUUCAUGUUUGAGAGAUUGGUUUUGAGCAUGUGAAUCUGAGCUUCAAAUACUUUGCCUGAGAAACUUCAGUUAUUGAUAAACGACAGAGGAUGAAAAAUAUUCAGUGAUGUCUCAAGCAUUUCACUGUAACUAUAUUCUUGCACUUUAUGCCUCAUUGAUUCUGUUCUGUUGCAACCUGUCUUAAGGUGCAUCUGCUCCUUCAUUUCUUAAUCACUGUUUCUAUACAAUUUGAUGGCAAAAAAGCGUGGUGGCCGUGGCUGUGUUAUUCAUCACUGAGAGGAAGAAGAAAAGGGGGACAAGGAGCAAUCAUGGGCUUGGCCGGCGUGCUCGAGUGAAACAUGCCCGUUUUAGUGUGGGUCGAGGCACUAGGGCACGUUGUCGGUGUGGCUUGGUCGGUCAUUCCCUAGCUUAAUCAUCAUGCGUUUGGCUGAGGAAGCGAUCGCUAGCGCCAACCAGUACUCUGGCAGGCAAGUACCGCAACAAUUAGUGUGACGGUCGGCAUCAGACUGCGCAAGAAGACGGCUCUGCUCCAGCCCAAAUGCUG
RNAcentral lists this long non-coding RNA (1120 nucleotides) under Triticum aestivum (bread wheat). RNAcentral describes it as "long non-coding RNA (TAES_LNC027411)". Lineage: Eukaryota; Viridiplantae; Streptophyta; Magnoliopsida; Poales; Poaceae. The record is from RNAcentral.